CACUCCUGCGGGAGGCAGCAGUGGGGAAUUUUGGACAAUGGGCGAAAGCCUGAUCCAGCAAUGCCGCGUGCAGGAUGAAGGCCUUCGGGUUGUAAACUGCUUUUGUACGGAACGAAAAAGCUCCUUCUAAUACAGGGGGCCCAUGACGGUACCGUAAGAAUAAGCACCGGCUAACUACGUGCCAGCAGCCGCGGUAAUACGUAGGGUGCGAGCGUUAAUCGGAAUUACUGGGCGUAAAGCGUGCGCAGGCGGUUAUGUAAGACAGAUGUGAAAUCCCCGGGCUCAACCUGGGAACUGCAUUUGUGACUGCAUGGCUAGAGUACGGUAGAGGGGGAUGGAAUUCCGCGUGUAGCAGUGAAAUGCGUAGAUAUGCGGAGGAACACCGAUGGCGAAGGCAAUCCCCUGGACCUGUACUGACGCUCAUGCACGAAAGCGUGGGGAGCAAACAGGAUUAGAUACCCGAGUAGUCCCA
This 472-nucleotide ribosomal RNA is filed under the name uncultured organism. RNAcentral describes it as "partial 16S ribosomal RNA". It matches the Rfam family "Bacterial small subunit ribosomal RNA", at positions 334 to 797 of the family's 1533-position model. The record is from RNAcentral.